CCUACGGGAGGCAGCAGUGAGGAAUAUUGGUCAAUGGCCGAAGGGCUGAACCAGCCAAGCCGCGUGAAGGAAUAAGGCCCUACGGGUCGUAAACUUCUUUAGUCAGGGAACAAAGGGAGCCACGCGUGGCGCUGUGAGUGUACCUGAAGAAUAAGCAUCGGCUAACUCCGUGCCAGCAGCCGCGGUAAUACGGAGGAUGCGAGCGUUAUCCGGAUUUAUUGGGUUUAAAGGGUGCGUAGGCGGACUGGAAAGUCAGCGGUAAAAUCGAGAGGCUCAACCUCUUUCCGCCGUUGAAACUGUCGGUC
RNAcentral lists this ribosomal RNA (305 nucleotides) under uncultured bacterium. Its description in RNAcentral is "bacterial SSU rRNA". It matches the Rfam family "Bacterial small subunit ribosomal RNA", at positions 338 to 641 of the family's 1533-position model. The record is from RNAcentral.